AUUGAACGCUGGCGGCAGGCCUAACACAUGCAAGUCGAGCGAGCGGCGGACGGGUGAGUAAUGUCUGGGAAACUGCCUGAUGGAGGGGGAUAACUACUGGAAACGGUAGCUAAUACCGCAUACCAUCAGAUGUGCCCAGAUGGGAUUAGCUAGUAGGUGGGGGAACCGCUCACCUAGGCGAAGAUCCCUAGCUGGUCGGAGAGGAUGACAAGCCACACUGUAACUGCGACACGGGCCAGACUCCUACGGUAGGCAGCAGUGGGGAAUAUUGCACAAGGGGCGCAAGCCUGAUGCAGCCAUGCCGCGUGUGUGAAGAAGGCCUUCGGGUUGUAAAGCACUUUCAGCGGGGAGGCGUUACCCGCAGAAGAAGCACCGGCUAACUCCGUGCCAGCAGCCGCGGUAAUAC
This 406-nucleotide ribosomal RNA is filed under the name uncultured bacterium. RNAcentral's name for it is "partial 16S ribosomal RNA". It matches the Rfam family "Bacterial small subunit ribosomal RNA", at positions 30 to 526 of the family's 1533-position model. The record is from RNAcentral.